GACGAACGCUGGCGGCGUGCUUAACACAUGCAAGUCGAACGGAAAGGCCCUGCUUUUGUGGGGUGCUCGAGUGGCGAACGGGUGAGUAACACGUGAGUAACCUGCCCUUGACUUUGGGAUAACUUCAGGAAACUGGGGCUAAUACCGGAUAGGAGCUCCUGCUGCAUGGUGGGGGUUGGAAAGUUUCGGCGGUUGGGGAUGGACUCGCGGCUUAUCAGCUUGUUGGUGGGGUAGUGGCUUACCAAGGCUUUGACGGAUAGCCGGCCUGAGAGGGUGACCGACGACAUUGGGACUGAGAUACAGCCCAGACACCUACGGGAGGCAGCAGUGGAGAAUAUUGCACAAUGAGCGGAAGCCUGAUGCAGCAACGCCGCGUGCGGGAUGACGGCCUUCGGGUUGUAAUCCGCUUUCGCCUGUGACGAAGCGUGAGUGACGGUAAUGGGUAAAGAAGCACCGGCUAACUACGUG
Molecule: ribosomal RNA, 468 nt
Filed under: uncultured bacterium
Lineage: Bacteria
Description: partial 16S ribosomal RNA
Rfam family: Bacterial small subunit ribosomal RNA
Source: RNAcentral